This 610-nucleotide ribosomal RNA is filed under the name uncultured bacterium. Its description in RNAcentral is "bacterial SSU rRNA". It matches the Rfam family "Bacterial small subunit ribosomal RNA", at positions 338 to 950 of the family's 1533-position model. The record is from RNAcentral.
CCUACGGGAGGCAGCAGUAAGGAAUAUUGGUCAAUGGAGGCAACUCUGAACCAGCCAUGCCGCGUGCAGGAUGACGGCCCUAUGGGUUGUAAACUGCUUUUAUACAAGAGAAAACCCUGGUACGUGUACCAGGUUGAUAGUAUUGUAAGAAUAAGCAUCGGCUAACUUCGUGCCAGCAGCCGCGGUAAGACGAAGGAUGCAAGCGUUAUCCGGAUUCAUUGGGUUUAAAGGGUGCGUAGGCGGACUGAUAAGUCAGUGGUGAAAUCUCUUUGCUUAACAAAGAAACUGCCAUUGAUACUGUCGGUCUAGAGUAUAGAUGACGUUGGCGGAAUAUGACAUGUAGUGGUGAAAUACUUAGAUAUGUCAUAGAACACCGAUUGCGAAGGCAGCUAACGAAACUAUAACUGACGCUGAGGCACGAAAGUGCGGGGAUCAAACAGGAUUAGAUACCCUGGUAGUCCGCACCGUAAACGAUGAUUACUCGUUGUUGGCGAUAUGACAGUCAGCGACCAAGCGAAAGCGAUAAGUAAUCCACCUGGGGAGUACGCCGGCAACGGUGAAACUCAAANAGAGUAGAGNGNGAGAGNGCGAGGACGACACGAGGGAGAGG